UACAGAGGGUGCAAGCGUUAAUCGGAAUUACUGGGCGUAAAGCGCGCGUAGGUGGACAAGUAAGUUGGAUGUGAAAUCCCCGGGCUCAACCCGGGAACUGCAUUCAAAACUGCUUAUCUAGAGUAUGGUAGAGGGGAGUGGAAUUUCCGGUGUAGCGGUGAAAUGCGUAGAUAUCGGAAGGAACACCAGUGGCGAAGGCGACUCCCUGGACUAAUACUGACACUGAGGUGCGAAAGCGUGGGGAGCAAACAGG
This 253-nucleotide ribosomal RNA is filed under the name uncultured bacterium. Its description in RNAcentral is "partial 16S ribosomal RNA". It matches the Rfam family "Bacterial small subunit ribosomal RNA", at positions 524 to 776 of the family's 1533-position model. The record is from RNAcentral.